UUCGGAGGUUUCGAGCGUUAAUCGGAAUAACUGGGCGUAAAGGGCACGCAGGCGGGCUUUUAAGUGAGAUGUGAAAUCCCCGGGCUUAACCUGGGAAUAGCAUUUCAGACUGGGAGUCUAGAGUACUUUAGGGAGGGGUAGAAUUCCACGUGUAGCGGUGAAAUGCGAAGAGAUGUGGAGGAAUACCGAAGGCAAUAGAAGCCCCGUGGGUAUGGAAUGAAGCUCAUGUGCGAAAGCGUGGGGAGCAAACAGG
This 253-nucleotide ribosomal RNA is filed under the name uncultured bacterium. Its description in RNAcentral is "partial 16S ribosomal RNA". It matches the Rfam family "Bacterial small subunit ribosomal RNA", at positions 524 to 776 of the family's 1533-position model. The record is from RNAcentral.